Tympanuchus pallidicinctus (lesser prairie-chicken) is the source of this 684-nucleotide long non-coding RNA. RefSeq lists it as uncharacterized. NCBI's taxonomy places the organism in Eukaryota, Metazoa, Chordata, Aves, Galliformes, Phasianidae. The record is from RefSeq and is a predicted model, not a curated record. The transcript is spliced from 3 exons.
CCGUUGGUGGGUGGGAUGUUGGUAAAACCCACUCCAAAGGGACAGUCAGAGCCAAGACUGACUGCCCCAUAUCUCCCUAUAUCCACCCCACAGCCCCCUGUAGCCUCAUAUCCCCCUAUAAUGCCCCUAUGGCUCACCCACUGCCCCCUAUAGACGUAUCCCCCUAUGGCAUGGGGUCACUUAUCCUAAUUAAACUCAUUAAUUCCAGUUUGCACUCGAUGCUCCUACACACCAAUAAUGGCAGUGCAGGGAACCCCAAAGCUCAUCACCCUUACUGGGGUCGGGAGGGGGAUUGGGGUCAGCAGUGAGAGAUGGGAGGAAGGGGUGGGAUGGGAGAGUUGGGCAGAGCUGAGUGGGGUUAGAACUUAGGGCGAGCAGAAUUGGUUGGGGUGAGGGCUUAGGGUGAGCAGUGCUGGGUGGGACGAAGGUUUAGGAUCACCAGUGAUCCUACAAUCCUAAAGCCCAAAGUGAGGUGAGCAUUUAUGGUUGGGGUGAGGGCUUAGGGUGAGUGGUGCUGGCUGGGGUGAGGAUUUAGGGUUGGCCAGUGCUGUUUGGGAUGCAGGUUUAGGGUCAGCAGUGUCAGUUGAAAUGAGGAUUUAGGUUUGGGCGGUGCCAGCUGGGAUGAAGGCUGAAGGGUGAGCAGUGCUGGCUGGGAUGAGGAUUUGGGGUUGGUCAGUGCUGCAG